AGUAACAUAACGGAACAAAAAAUUGGUCACUUUAACCAGCUGACGUCAAGGCGAAGCAUCGUUUGCGGGAAUCGUGUGAGUCGGUUCUAUUCACACUCUACAGGCAUCGAUUAAAAAUGUGACGCUUUCGAAGCUUCGUUCACUUGUUUGACGGGCCUUGUGUAACAUCAGCCGUUAAUAAAAACACAUUUAAACCAAGAAAAUACUUGAACACAAAAGAAAGAAUCUGUACACGUGGUCGGUGCGUGGAAAAGUUCCCUCAGUAAUAAACGAGAGAACAUUACACGGCUCAACAUGAGUGUGGAGGUGUGAGGCGAGUCGGAGGAGCUGAUGAAGUGUUUGGAUGACGAGUGUCUCGCAGCUCUGCUCGUCUGAGUUCACCGUGAGUCUGUCGUCCUUCAACAGCGUGAAGCUCCACCGCUGGAAGAGUCUGCUCGAGAUGUCAUGAGAAACCAGCAGGACUCUGGGCGUCAGCAUCACCGCACUGGUCUAUGUUAUAUCCUGGAGACGUCUGUACGUUCUGCCCCAUGCCAAUUAAAUUCACUUCAUUGUGUUGUGUUCAGGGCCACAGCACAGCGUGUCAGGACACAUUCAAAGCACUUAUGGUCCUCUCACCGCAUGCCACCCAACACAGGUCUCCUGUUUACUCACCAUGACAACAGCUGGCACACCCUCACCUUUCUGAACGCAGAGACUUGAUCCAAAUAUGAAAGACUGAUAGUGAUUAGCUGAAACUCAUGGACACGUCUGGGUUUGUUUAUAAAAUGUGAACUCGGAGCACAAGAAAGUCUCAAGGAUCACGAGGAUAUUUGUGGAGAAUGAUCCAUUUUCUUUUAUGCCAAAAUCAUAAGUUAUGAAGAUCAUAUUCCAUGAAGAUGUUUUGUCAAUUUUUCUAACGUAAAUAUAUCAAAACAUUAUUUCUGUGAGAGGAUGCAGCAAAACCACUAACAAAGAUUGCCAUAAACACACCUACAAACAUCACUGGCUGCUGUUGCUCUUUGAGAAUGAUACGCUCACGUUUGGUAUCCAUGUUCAAGGCCAUUUUCUCAAUAUUUAGAUGUUUUUAACCCUCACAUGCCAGAGUUUUAAAUAGUCCUGUGUCGGCCAAUCUAUCCUAACAAACUUUAAAGUUUUCGCUAAUCAAGUCACAGUUACAUCUGAAAAGUAUGUUAGAUUAACAACCACUACUUUGAAUUUUAAUGUCAUUUUUUUAUUUAAACAUUAAUAUAAACUGUAACGGGCAAUUAAUGUAAACAGGAAUCUGCAAUCUGACAAUCUGCAAAAGCAUCUUUAACUACAGUUCUGCUCACAGGUUUCAUACCUCUGUAGAAUAUAAACAGGAUCUGGGUUCAUAGAAAUGACAUUUGAUUUAGUGUUCUGAAUAAGUGUGAUAGUUAUUUCUUGUGUAAGUGACUUUUAGCUAAUUGGGACCUUUUGUCUCACAGUUGUGAUUGUAUAACUCAUCAUUUAUGAUUUCUUUUCUUAGAAUUGUGGAUUAUAAUGUCUAAUGAUAGAAAACUGUAAAUCUGAUGAAAAACUCUAAACAUCUCAAUUUUGAAACAUAAGACUGGUUUUGUUGUCCAGGGUCACAAAUGAACUCCUUUAACUCAUUUUAUACACUCCUCUGAUUAUUUGAUUUGACAGGUUAUGUACACGGCUCUCAAAAAUAUAUUAUUUUCUUAAUAUUGUGUCUUUCACCACAUGUCAAAUAAUGUAGUCUUGUAACUCAUAAUGACUCUUCUGGUUAACCAAACGUUUAGUUUUUAUUCUUAAACUAGUCUGGUGUUCAUUGAUGUAAAUGUUUUUCACAAAAUAAACAUUGAAAUGGUUUAUACUUA
Long non-coding RNA from Triplophysa dalaica, 1838 nucleotides. RefSeq lists it as uncharacterized. The transcript is spliced from 4 exons. The record is from RefSeq and is a predicted model, not a curated record. Lineage: Eukaryota; Metazoa; Chordata; Actinopteri; Cypriniformes; Nemacheilidae.